GCCUGGGUGGCUCAGUUGGUUGAGCAUCUGACUUUGGUUCAGGUCAUGAUCUUGCUGGUUUGAGUUCUAGCCCCACGUU
This 79-nucleotide transfer RNA is filed under the name Felis catus (domestic cat). It matches the Rfam family "tRNA". Rfam says of the family: Transfer RNA (tRNA) molecules are approximately 80 nucleotides in length. Their secondary structure includes four short double-helical elements and three loops (D, anti-codon, and T loops). Further hydrogen bonds mediate the characteristic L-shaped molecular structure. tRNAs have two regions of fundamental functional importance: the anti-codon, which is responsible for specific mRNA codon recognition, and the 3' end, to which the tRNAs corresponding amino acid is attached (by aminoacyl-tRNA synthetases). tRNAs cope with the degeneracy of the genetic code in two manners: having more than one tRNA (with a specific anti-codon) for a particular amino acid; and 'wobble' base-pairing, i.e. permitting non-standard base-pairing at the 3rd anti-codon position. Lineage: Eukaryota; Metazoa; Chordata; Mammalia; Carnivora; Felidae. The record is from Rfam by way of RNAcentral.